This 433-nucleotide ribosomal RNA is filed under the name uncultured bacterium. Its description in RNAcentral is "partial 16S ribosomal RNA". It matches the Rfam family "Bacterial small subunit ribosomal RNA", at positions 29 to 507 of the family's 1533-position model. The record is from RNAcentral.
AACGAACGCUGGCGGCAUGCCUAACACAUGCAAGUCGAACGAGACCUUCGGGUCUAGUGGCGCACGGGUGCGUAACGCGUGGGAACCUGCCCUUAGGUUCGGAAUAACUCCCCGAAAGGGGUGCUGAUACCGGAUAAUGUCUUCGGACCAAAGAUUUAUCGCCUUUGGAUGGGCCCGCGUUGGAUUAGCUAGUUGGUAGGGUAAAAGCCUACCAAGGCGACGAUCCAUAGCUGGUCUGAGAGGAUGAUCAGCCACACUGGGACUGAGACACGGCCCAGACUCCUACGGGAGGCAGCAGUGGGGAAUAUUGGACAAUGGGCGAAAGCCUGAUCCAGCAAUGCCGCGUGAGUGAUGAAGGCCUUAGGGUUGUAAAGCUCUUUUACCCGGGAUGAUAAUGACUGUACCGGGAGAAUAAGCUCCGGCUAACUCCGUG